Molecule: small RNA, 1286 nt
Filed under: Pongo abelii (Sumatran orangutan)
Lineage: Eukaryota; Metazoa; Chordata; Mammalia; Primates; Hominidae
Description: unitary pseudogene
Source: RNAcentral
AUGGAGAAGGUGGAGUGCCUAGGGGCUGCUGGCGGCCUCAACCGGGAUUUCCCCUAGAGGGGCAGCCAGAGGAGUGCCCGCAGCGGUCACAGGAGUCGAGGCAGGCGCUGGGCAGCCCUCCAGAUUAGUCUUGUUUCACGGUUCUGGGCCUCACGUGCACUCAGGGGGCUCCGUAACUCGCAGUACUGGUUCAAGCUGUCCCUCCGGGGGGAUAGUGGUCCUUGGUUCCGGGCCCAGUCAGCACCCAAGGGAGGCUGCGAACCACAGCCUUGGGUCUGGCACGAACCCUGGUGGAUUCAACAUCCUCGGGUCUCGAACCAGUGUAUCCAGGGCUUCCAGCCCCGGGCCUGGGGGACCUGCAGGGCAAGAGGUAAACAGCCCCGGGUGCAGUCCGCACUCAGGGCCAACUUGCUUGAACCCCCAAAACUCCCAACAGGACCGGCCCCGGAGCAUCCUACGAAAGAACAGCUCCAACUUGAUGCAGAAAUCCCCCAAUGUGGAGAAGAAGUCUCAGCACUGGGACAAGAUGAAUAUCCUGGCCACCUGCUGACAAGAACUAUGGAUUUAUGAUGGUGGAUGAGCCCAACACUCCCUACCACAGGCUGCAGGACAGUUUUGAGGACCUCUCUGCUGGCUCCUCCUGCUCAGUGAAUCCCGGAGUGCUGGCAGAGAGGAUUGCCAUGAUGGACAGUAUCUGCCCCAGGUUCCGCCAGGACUGUGCUGACAGGAGCUCAGGGCCUGCAGACAACUUUUCCAAGAUACACUUCACCGACUUUGACAAGCGCCGCAAGUCACACUAUGAUAAAGGGAAGUUUCUCAAGGCUCAGAAAAACCGGCCCUUGGAGGAUGAAGAGGAUGAGGAUGACAAUGGUGGUAUUGUCAGUAUCAGUGGUGGCAGUCAAGGCAUGACGCUGGACCCAGAGCCCAGGCCUGUGCAGAGAGGCUGGGCAGGAGAACUAGCCAGAGGAGCCAAAGAUGAGCCAGGCCUGGUCACCCAGAGGCACAUCCUUGAAGCCCAGGAUUCCUCCACCUACAGAAAUCAGUCCCCCCAGCUGUGGCCACUAUCAUAUUGGGGCAGGAGGUUGCUCUGCAGCACAAGGAAUAUGGUGGCAAAGGACUACACCUGAGGUCCUGCUCUCAUCCAGAGCUUGUAGAGGAUAUGGAAGAUGAGCAUCAAGAUGUGAGUCUCAAGUGGUGUCCAGCUGGUGGCUGGGGGGCUGAGCUGGCAAAGCCCAAGGAGUUCAGAGAGGGAGAGUGGAAUCAACGCCAACUCCUCAAGCCAGAAC